RNAcentral lists this non-coding RNA (218 nucleotides) under Niastella koreensis. Lineage: Bacteria; Pseudomonadati; Bacteroidota; Chitinophagia; Chitinophagales; Chitinophagaceae. The record is from RNAcentral.
UACAUUUGCGCCAGUUAUGGUUCCGGUCCCCACUUAAACGGGGAUUUGGAUUAAAAGGGAACCCGGUGUAACUCCGGGGCUGUCCCGCAGCUGUAAGUUUCGUGGAUCUGUCAGCAUCCACAAGUGUUCAAUCUACAACCACUGUCCCCAUUGGAAGGGCGGGAAGGUGUUGAACAAAUGAAACGAGCCAGAAGACCUGCCAUAGCCAACUUAUUUAU